RNAcentral lists this transfer RNA (75 nucleotides) under Parcubacteria group bacterium CG08_land_8_20_14_0_20_38_56. RNAcentral describes it as "tRNA-Glu". It matches the Rfam family "tRNA". Rfam says of the family: Transfer RNA (tRNA) molecules are approximately 80 nucleotides in length. Their secondary structure includes four short double-helical elements and three loops (D, anti-codon, and T loops). The record is from RNAcentral. RNAcentral also lists the same sequence under 1 other name.
GGCCUCGUCGUCUAGUGGCUAGGACACGACCCUUUCAAGGUCGCGAUACGGGUUCGACUCCCGUCGAGGCCACCA